This is a non-coding RNA of Carassius gibelio (silver crucian carp), 585 nucleotides long. The record is from the annotation of a RefSeq genome assembly. Lineage: Eukaryota; Metazoa; Chordata; Actinopteri; Cypriniformes; Cyprinidae.
CAGAGACUCACAGUAACACAGAUCUACAGCUCAGAGCACAGACAACAUUAACACACACCUGAUCUGACCUAGUCAACAUGGAGAAACACCUGCUGCUGAUUUUAAUUCUGACUUCAGGUGUGAUGACUGAAGACCUGAUUGGACCAAAUCAAGAAACUAGUGUCAUGAAGGAAAAGGAGACUGUGACCCUCAGCUGCACAUAUGAUACAAGCAGCAGUUAUGUUUAUCUGUACUGGUAUAGACAGUAUCUUAAUGGAAAGCUUCAAUAUUUGUUAUUUGAGCCUGCACGAUCGGGUAGUGGAAGUGGGAGCCCCGAUGAUCCUCGCUUUCAGUCGACUACAUCACACACAUCCACUGAACUCACUAUUACUCGUGUAACUCUGUCAGAUUCAGCUCUCUAUUAUUGUGCUCUAAGAGUAGGAGCACAGUGAUACAAAGUUUGUGUGAAGCCGUUCAAAAACUCAAAUUCAUGUUUUCCCUUUGAUGUCAAGCCAUAUCAAACCCACAAUCUAUAAUUCACACAAUUUAAUUUCACAUGUGGAAGCACACCUGUGUGCGGUUACUGAAAAUGUAAUGAAUAGGAAA